UCGCCGUUGCCUAGUGGAUAAGGCGUCCGCCUCGGGAGCGGUAGGUCGAAGGUUCGAGCCCGAUGGUGAG
Molecule: transfer RNA, 70 nt
Filed under: Dreissena polymorpha
Lineage: Eukaryota; Metazoa; Mollusca; Bivalvia; Myida; Dreissenidae
Description: tRNA-Pro
Source: RNAcentral